Molecule: ribosomal RNA, 497 nt
Filed under: uncultured bacterium
Lineage: Bacteria
Description: partial 16S ribosomal RNA
Rfam family: Bacterial small subunit ribosomal RNA
Source: RNAcentral
GAUGAACGCUGGCGGCGUGCCUAAUACAUGCAAGUCGAGCGAACGGACGAGAAGCUUGCUUCUCUGAUGUUAGCGGCGGACGGGUGAGUAACACGUGGAUAACCUACCUAUAAGACUGGGAUAACUUCGGGAAACCGGAGCUAAUCCCGGAUGAUAUUUUGAACCGCAUGGUUCAAAAGUGAAGGACGGUCUUGCUGUCACUUAUAGAUGGAUCCGCGCUGCAUUAGCUAGUUGGUAAGGUAACGGCUUACCAAGGCAACGAUGCAUAGCCGACCUGAGAGGGGGGUCGGCCACACUGGAACUUAGACACGGUCCAGACUCCUACGGGAGGCAGCAGUAGGGAAUCUUCCGCAAUAGGCGAAAGCCUGACGGAGCAACGGCGCGUGAGUGAUGAAGGUCUUCGGAUCGUAAAACUCUGUUAUUAGGGAAGAACAUAUGUGUAAGUAACUGUGCACAUCUUGACGGUACCUAAUCAGAAAGCCACGGCUAACUACGUG